CAGCAGCCGCGGGAACACCGGCGGCCCGGAGUGGUGAUCGUGAUUAUUGGGUCUAAAGGGUCCGUAGCCGGUUUGGUCAGUCCUCCGGGAAAUCUGAUAGCUCAACUAUUAGGCUUUCGGGGGAUACUGCCAGACUUGGAACCGGGAGAGGUAAGAGGUACUACAGGGGUAGGAGUGAAAUCUUGUAAUCCCUGUGGGACCACCUGUGGCGAAGGCGUCUUACCAGAACGGGUUCGACGGUGAGGGACGAAAGCUGGGGGCACGAACCGGAUUAGAUACCCGGGUAGUCCCAGCCGUAAACGAUGCUCGCUAGGUGUCAGGCAUGGCGCGACCGUGUCUGGUGCCGCAGGGAAGCCGUGAAGCGAGCCACCUGGGAAGUACGGCCGCAAGGCUGAAACUUAAAGGAAUUGGCGGGGGAGCACAACAACGGGUGGAGCCCUGCGGUUUAAUUGGACUCAACGCCGGACAACUCACCGGGGGCGACAGCAAUAUGUAGGCCAAGCUGAAGACUUUGCCUGAAUCGCUGAGAAGAGGUGCAUGG
Molecule: ribosomal RNA, 541 nt
Filed under: uncultured archaeon
Lineage: Archaea
Description: bacterial SSU rRNA
Rfam family: Archaeal small subunit ribosomal RNA
Source: RNAcentral